This is an unclassified non-coding RNA of Erinaceus europaeus (western European hedgehog), 317 nucleotides long. Its record names the gene 7SK. It matches the Rfam family "7SK RNA". Rfam says of the family: 7SK was discovered as an abundant small nuclear RNA in the mid-70s but a possible function has only recently been suggested. Two independent studies have found that 7SK RNA binds the CDK9/cyclin T complex (known as elongation factor P-TEFb). The record is from Ensembl. NCBI's taxonomy places the organism in Eukaryota, Metazoa, Chordata, Mammalia, Eulipotyphla, Erinaceidae.
GGAUAUGAGGGGUGAUCUGGCUGUAACAUCAGUCACACCUUUGAUUGCCAGGGUUGAUUCACCUUAUCUGGCUGGCUAGGUAAGUAGGUGUCCCCUUCCUCCCUCACUGCUCCAUGUGUCUCUCCUGAAGCUGUGUGCUUGGUGGAAGAGGACAGCCUUCCUCAAGCAGAGAGACAGGCCGGUCUUUGGUCGAGGGUAUACAAGUAACUGCACUCCCCUGCUAGAACCUCCAAACAAGCUCUCAAAAAGAAUAAGGAUUUGUACUACAGCACAACAAUACAACCUACAACAAAGAGUGACUUUGCCAAAGCCACCUU